RNAcentral lists this ribosomal RNA (519 nucleotides) under uncultured bacterium. Its description in RNAcentral is "bacterial SSU rRNA". It matches the Rfam family "Bacterial small subunit ribosomal RNA", at positions 8 to 524 of the family's 1533-position model. The record is from RNAcentral.
AGAGUUUGAUCCUGGCUCAGAUUGAACGCUGGCGGCAUGCCUUACACAUGCAAGUCGAACGGUAACAGGUCUUCGGACGCUGACGAGUGGCGAACGGGUGAGUAAUACAUCGGAACGUGCCCAGUCGUGGGGGAUAACUACUCGAAAGAGUAGCUAAUACCGCAUACGAUCUGAGGAUGAAAGCGGGGGACCUUCGGGCCUCGCGCGAUUGGAGCGGCCGAUGGCAGAUUAGGUAGUUGGUGGGAUAAAAGCUUACCAAGCCGACGAUCUGUAGCCGGUCUGAGAGGACGACCAGCCACACUGGGACUGAGACACGGCCCAGACUCCUACGGGGGGCAGCAGUGGGGAAUUUUGGACAAUGGGCGAAAGCCUGAUCCAGCAAUGCCGCGUGCAGGAUGAAGGCCUUCGGGUUGUAAACUGCUUUUGUACGGAACGAAAAAGCUUCUCCUAAUACGAGAGGCCCAUGACGGUACCGUAAGAAUAAGCACCGGCUAACUACGUGCCAGCAGCCGCGGUAAU